This 499-nucleotide long non-coding RNA is filed under the name Sorghum bicolor (sorghum). RNAcentral describes it as "long non-coding RNA (SBIC_LNC012840)". The record is from RNAcentral. Lineage: Eukaryota; Viridiplantae; Streptophyta; Magnoliopsida; Poales; Poaceae.
UAGAAACUCUUUAACUACUUUACUAUUUUCUGGGCAAAUUUAUCUUUGGACAAAAUUUGUGCAGAAAAUACCAUCAAAACUGUGCAAAUUUAUUCAAAUAUGCAUGAAAACUGUUUCUGAAAAAUAAAAAAGAAAAACUCUAUAAAACACUGUACAACCAGCCAAAGCAACCAACUGCCUGGCUCGGCCCAUGACCAAUACGCGCUCUGUGCACUGUGCAGCCCAGCUCACGUGAGCCUCUCCUUUUUUUUCUUGCUAUCGCUUUCGGCCCAGUAGAGAGCUUAGCCCAGCUUCACUUUAGGCCCACGGUCGAGCUACGACCCUCUUCCGCUGGUAGCACGCUUUUGAUAUUAGAUACGCAUAGAGAGAAUUAAUCAGCAAGCGCACGGAUAUCAGUGAGCACUUAACCUUGGAGAUGUUUCAGAGUAUCAUUAUUUAUAUUUUUACCACUGGGAGAAAGCGUGCAUCAGACUAACCUAAAUCUAUACUUAACCCCCGG